Long non-coding RNA from Lingula anatina, 157 nucleotides. The record is from RefSeq and is a predicted model, not a curated record. NCBI's taxonomy places the organism in Eukaryota, Metazoa, Brachiopoda, Lingulata, Lingulida, Lingulidae.
ACUAAUAUUGUAGCAGGCAACCACUGCAGACCACGCCUUACAUCAUACGCGGAGGACAGCACUGAUUACAUUAAUGCAGUGUUCAUAGACGGAUACCAACGCCAAAAUUCCUAUAUCAUCACGCAGAUGCCUCUGCCUCACACGGUCGUUGACUUCU